This is a long non-coding RNA of Rosa chinensis, 2931 nucleotides long. RefSeq lists it as uncharacterized. The transcript has 6 exons. The record is from RefSeq and is a predicted model, not a curated record. NCBI's taxonomy places the organism in Eukaryota, Viridiplantae, Streptophyta, Magnoliopsida, Rosales, Rosaceae.
UCUAAGCUCAAAGACUAAUCCGUAUAAUGUCAGAACGUUUUCUCCUCGCUGACCACCAAGAAUAAAUUCAAAUUUAAAUUCAAAUUAACGUCAACCUGAUUCCAUUUUGUUGUGCCCUAAUAAACUAAAAUUUCGAAUCCGCCGCUGACCUCGCGGGCACGAAGAUCAAAAUCGGGCCGGAGUCGUUCAAUCAAAGACAGUUCAUUGGUAUAUAAAUAUGUCUCUGAUUGCCCUGGGAUUCACGCAUACUUCAGUCUACUGGAGCUUAUUUGAUCUCAAAAGGUGACAUCUUUUCACUUAUUCAAUUAGUUCUGUUCCUGGGUUUUUGCUUAAAUUUUGUUUCUGAUUAGUAAGUAGAAAUUCUGUGUUUUUUUUUUCCUACGUAAAGAACCCAGAUUUCAGUCCUCUAUAAGCUCAAACAAACCCCAUCUCAAUAAAUUUCCCAUGUUUUUGAUGACGGGUUAUAGAAAAUUUCAUCUGAGCAUCUGGGGUUUUGUCAAUCUUGAGUUUGGGUUGCUUCUGUAGUCGAUUUACUUAUGUAGACAAUUACUUCAUAGAUUCUGGUGUAUCUGGGCUUUUUUUUUUCUUUACUUAUAUACACAAGAUGCUUUUCGAGUCUUUUCACAAUACAUCCAACAUUUGUCUUUAACUCUGUUUUGUUGUUCAUAAAUGAAGCCCAUGCUUAGGCCCGCUUACAGUGUCCACACAACAUCACAUAAGCAAUUGAAGUAAAAAACACAUUCAGACAAAAGAAACAUUAUAGUGUAAGAUGAGAUAAACAAUCUCCAUCAAUAUGAUAUAUCCUUUAUUGAGUUCCUUUUAUCGAGGCUUAGAAACAGUUCACAUGUUGUGCAAUGUUAAAGGUUAAAGGGACUUCAUUUAUUUGAUGUUCAUUUAGUUUUAAGUUUCACUUUGGUACUGGUGAAAAUUUAGUAUCACAAGAAGGUAGGCAACUUCAAAAGCUCUAGGUUUUGUUUUAACUAAUGUAACACAAUUGAUUUUGGAUUGAAUUGGCCCUAAGAUCUGACUUGAAUUUGAGCCUUUCUAGCUCUUGCAGAUCACUGUAUCCUCUGUAAUGAGUCCGAACAUACUAUACAGAACUAUUAUUAUAUUUUUUCGUGCAAUUUGGGAAUAGUAUUGCAUUAAAUCUAUGUUAUGGACUUUUUUAUAAUUAUUAUAUUAGAGGGCCACAAUAAAGAAGUUUGUUUUGAAAAAUUUUGGUUAAAGAUCACUUUCCUCUGUUAUACAGUAUGAAAUUUUGUUUUUCCUAUAUGAUUCUGAUUAUUGUUAGAAGAUAAAAGAAAUUGAUCCGAGUAGUUGAUACUGUUUUGCUCUUCCUGAUGCUCCUUUCUAUCUUAGAUAACUAUAUCACAAGAUCAGGAGUUAGAAUUGCUUUUUGCGAAGCUUUCUCUAUGAACUGAAGCUUUCAGGCAGUGGUUAGUUGCAGUUCAAAUUAUUUUGUGGAGUUAGAGAUCAUAAUCAUUUUGCACUGGGAUCUAUGUAACUACAUGUUAGUCUCAUUGUAAUGUUCGUAUCCAACGUGCUGAUAGAUGUUUAAUUGUUUGUUCUGUUGUUCAUCUUAAAGAAUGAAAAGAUUUGUGUAUACAUUUCUCUUAAGGUAUAACUUUAAUAGACAUUCUUAAAAAAAAAAAAGCUUUAUAAUUUUCUUAAAAAAGCGUCGGCUGACAACACAUGCAUACAUUUAUAGUUUAUUCCAGGCAGUAAAACAUUAACCAACAUAAACAGCUAGGAUGUUUAUCGUAUAUAAUCCAAGAUGCUUUUUGAGUCUUCUCAAAAUACAUCCAACAUUUGUCCUUUAACUCUGUUUUGCUGUUCACAUAUUUAUUUGUCUGCAUUUAUGUACAUUUGAGGACAAUGGACAUUUCGUGGGCAUUGUCAUGGAUCGGCCUCUUUUACUAUUUCGGGGUCAGAGGGUUGCGCCAAGACCAUGCCAAGGCAUUGUCGUGGUUUCUCAAGUCUGUGGAGAAGUGACAGCCAAGGGCUAUGGAGUUUCCUGGGGAGAUUUAUGCUAGAUGAGCUGGGGUUGAGAGGAAUUACACCAAGGCUCUGGAGUGGCUUACAUCAGCAUCUAAACAAGAACUUUAUUCGACGUAUAAUGGGAUAGGCUGUUUGUAUGUUAAAGCAUAUGGAGUGGAGGAGAAGAACUACACUAAGCACUGACAAAGCGAAAGAAACAAUCAUUACUAAUACAAAAGACAUAUCAAUGGUUUUGCUGCCACCCUUGAAGAGGAAGAGGCAGCUGAAAUUGCAAAGCAUCCAAAUGUUGUCUCAGUUUCUUAAACCAAGAAAGAAAUUGCAUACAGCCCAUUCAUGGAGCCCAUUCAUAGAAUUUCGUGCUACUGGAAAAGAACGGAGUGAUUCGCCCCAGUUCUUUAUGGAACAAGGCCAGAUGUGGCGAGGAUGCGAUCACGGCCAAUUUUGACACCGGUGUGUGGCCCGAAUCAGUGUGUUAGUGACAAAGGGAUUUGACCCAUUCCAUCAAUGUGGAAAGGAAUCUGUCAGAAUGAUACCACUGGGUUUUCCUGCAACAGUGGCUAAUUAUAUGAUGAGUGGAGAAACUCAUACUACAGACUACAUGGUGCCUGAUGUCAAUGGAAAUGGUCCAGUUGAUAACUAUGGCUAUGAGAAUAUCAUGGAGGAUCCUGCGCAGAACUGUCUAACGGUUCAUUUCUGAGAUCAGCGAAUUUUGUUGAGAAACCUAUUGGAGAGCCCCUGAAGCAGACCUAUGCUUCUAUAUUGCAUUUUGCUAAAGGACAACCUGCAUCAUCUGUAGCUCCUUGGCAUUCAGUUCACAAGAGUGCACCACUGGCUUCAGAUUGGAAUGACUUUUCAGCCCAUUGCAUCGUCCAAUGCAGUUGAAAGGCCUGUAGCAGAGACAGCAGAUGAAAUUUCUGCCCUAGAAGAAUGAAG